AUUAAAUUUACUCAUUUAGUUGAUGCAUUUCUCCAAAUUGACUUAUAAUGUUACAUUACUUACAGUUAUUUACCCAUUUAUACAACUGGAUAAUUUUUAGUGGAGGAAUUGAAAGUGAGUUGCUUGUGAGUACUUGAUCAAUGGUACUACAGAUGUAGAGGGCUUGGGAUUGAAGCCUGCCACCUUUGGGUUUAAAGGCAGCAGCUCUAACCACUACACUACCAGCCGCCCCUCCUUAGGCUUGAAUUUCUUUAAAUUGGCGAGUCCAGUGGGCAUUUGGAUCAGCUGAAUGCAAUGUGCUGGUUUUGUGCUUUCAGCAGAAACACUGUUGUAUCGGAAGACACCCAACUGUCCUACAGCUGUCAUCGUCAAAGAGGGCGGCGUGUGAGUGCUUAAGAAACUCCCAUUGACAAGGCCCUGUCCCUCCGUGCUGCGCUGCACUGCCACGGCUCUGACUCUUGAAUGCUGAUUCACUCCUGCCAGAGCUGCCGUUCUGUCUCCGAACUGUUAAAAAGGGACAGAUAAACCCAGUCUGCCCGGCAGCGUUUGUUUGUGUCGUCUAUUUAUGAUUUAUAAGUCAUUCGCAUUAUUAAUUAUUCAGCUUUGGAGUAUCUUCAUAAUGGCAGGAGCCGUUCAUUUACAUUUUGUUAUCAUGUCGCAUGGCAAAUCCACUUAGCAAUUUGAGAAAACAAAAGUAAUUCAUGCUACUAUUAGCAAUCAGACUGACUUCAAGGAGUGGGAAUAGACAGCCCCUCUGCUGUCAUCCAGGAAGUGCACCUGGGGGGACAGUUUUCAGUCCGAGUUCCAGCGAGGGAGGUUGGGCCUUACCCCACUGCGGAUACCUGCCUUCCGCAGGCCCCCAGGUCUUCAAAAGGAGCCAAAAAGUCUGUGUCAGCCCACAUACCCUGGAGCCUGAAGACAUGUUGGGCCUCACCUACGCCUUGUUUGAGGACAUGGUUGCCAUGACUUUGGUGUCAGUUGGAGGUGAAUGGAUCCUCAAAGACAUUUCCAAAGACAAACACAGACAUAGGCACCUGAGUACAGCAACCAAACAGGCCUAUGAACGGUAUCAAUACGUCGGCAAGGAAACCAAUCUGCUGGCGUAUAUUGGAAAAAGUGCUGCAGAGGGACAGAUUGCCCCCGCCCCCAACUUUUCAUUUACCUUUGCCGACUUGCGCCAUCCGGCGCCGCCGAUGACUCCGUCCAGGUUACAUCGUGUUACCCGGACUGCGGGAAUGUAAAUGCAUGAAGAUGAAGCCUGGGCAAGGAAUCAUUAUUCUGCCCGUGUAUCACAUUGCAAAGACGACGCGGCUGGAAAGUUACAAUCCGGUGGCCUUCGCCAGAAAUAUGAGCCCAUUGUGUGUCGCGGCAC
RNAcentral lists this long non-coding RNA (1372 nucleotides) under Scleropages formosus (Asian bonytongue). RNAcentral's name for it is "lncRNA (ENSSFOG00015029121.1)". The record is from RNAcentral. Lineage: Eukaryota; Metazoa; Chordata; Actinopteri; Osteoglossiformes; Osteoglossidae.